RNAcentral lists this transfer RNA (72 nucleotides) under Marmota monax (woodchuck). RNAcentral describes it as "tRNA.Ala". It matches the Rfam family "tRNA". Rfam says of the family: Transfer RNA (tRNA) molecules are approximately 80 nucleotides in length. Their secondary structure includes four short double-helical elements and three loops (D, anti-codon, and T loops). Lineage: Eukaryota; Metazoa; Chordata; Mammalia; Rodentia; Sciuridae. The record is from RNAcentral.
GGGGUUGUGGCUCAGUGGUAAGAGCGCUCGUCUAGCACAGGUGAGGCCCUGGGUUCAAUCCUCAGCACCACA